GGAUGCAUGGAUGAGGAUGUCCCUAUUGAUCCCAAGGGUGGAGUCAGCAGAUGUAGCUGGUUAAGAGAAGCCCUCUUUUUCCUUGGCACUGAGCUCAUGCCUUCUGAGAUUGUGCUCAAACUAAAGAGGAAGACUUUGCCUGUGGGAGCAGAAACAGUGUUCACUCAAGAGCAUGGCAGUAGCUAAGCCCUCUGUUAGAAAUUCCAAAGGAGCUCUCAGGGCCAAUUACAUUCAUGUUUAAUGGUCAAGUUCAACAUUUAAAUGACAAAGACACAUGCGUAUACUU
This 286-nucleotide small nuclear RNA is filed under the name Microtus ochrogaster (prairie vole). RNAcentral describes it as "7SK RNA (ENSMOCG00000006056.1)". It matches the Rfam family "7SK RNA". Rfam says of the family: 7SK was discovered as an abundant small nuclear RNA in the mid-70s but a possible function has only recently been suggested. Two independent studies have found that 7SK RNA binds the CDK9/cyclin T complex (known as elongation factor P-TEFb). The record is from RNAcentral. Lineage: Eukaryota; Metazoa; Chordata; Mammalia; Rodentia; Cricetidae.